GAUGAACGCUAGCGGCAGGCCUAACACAUGCAAGUCGAGGGGUAGAGGAAGCUUGCUUCCUUGAGACCGGCGCACGGGUGCGUAACGCGUAUGCAAUCUACCUUGUACAGAGGAAUAGCCCAGAGAAAUUUGGAUUAAUGCCUCAUAGUAUGUUGAUUUGGCAUCAAGACAACAUUAAAGAUUUAUCGGUACAAGAUGAGCAUGCGUCCCAUUAGUUAGUUGGUAAGGUAACGGCUUACCAAGACGAUGAUGGGUAGGGGUCCUGAGAGGGAGAUCCCCCACACUGGUACUGAGACACGGACCAGACUCCUACGGGAGGCAGCAGUGAGGAAUAUUGGGCAAUGGGCGCAAGCCUGACCCAGCCAUGCCGCGUGCAGGAAGACGGUCCUAUGGAUUGUAAACUGCUUUUAUACGGGAAGAAACACCCCCUCGUGAGGGGGCU
This 442-nucleotide ribosomal RNA is filed under the name uncultured Flavobacterium sp. RNAcentral's name for it is "bacterial SSU rRNA". It matches the Rfam family "Bacterial small subunit ribosomal RNA", at positions 28 to 470 of the family's 1533-position model. The record is from RNAcentral. Lineage: Bacteria; Pseudomonadati; Bacteroidota; Flavobacteriia; Flavobacteriales; Flavobacteriaceae.